AGAGCUGCCAAGUCUCACCCUUUGAGAGUGAGAGUCACGCAAUUUAACCUCUUCACACGCCUCACGCCACACUUGCCAUUUCACACGCUUUUUUCCCCCUCUCACUACUUUAUAAUUUUUUAUUUUAUUUAAUGAUAUAUUUCCAUAACUUGUUGCUUGAGGCCUGCCGUAGUUCGAGUCAGGGACAGGGUGAGCCCGCCCUAUUCUGCCCCCCGAUUGGCUGACCGAGAUAUGUGAUAACCAAUCAUCAGCCCUCGAGGCUAAAUCUAACCAACCCAACGAAAGGCACCACGUAUACAAACCAAUCAGAGGCAGCUUAGGGCGGGUCAUUGCGUCUCUAUCCUAUGAAGACAACUAGAACAACACUUAUGGCGGAGAAAUCGAAAAGUAAACGUGACUAUAAUGCCGUGACUGACAUUUUCAUCUGAAGCGGGAGAUCAAGCGGUCGGUAACCACACAUUAUUUUUACAAAUAUGGGUCUGACUACGUGAGACUUAACGUCACACAGGCUGCUGGUGAGCAGUGUGGCAGGUUGCUGCGGUUUCCUAAACUUCUCCCAUACAACGGACCUGACGAGCGUGACAAACUGAGUGAGGAGUUUCUGGACUACCAGUCCAUGGACAUUGCCAUGCCCGAAGACCCAGACACGUUCGACAUUGAGAGCUUUUGGGGGAACAUGGCAUCAAUGAAGAAUAAGGUGACCGGUAUGAGCAGAUUUGGGAGGCUCUCUCGUAUUGCCAAGUUGGUGUUGGUACUUCCACAUUCAAAUGCUGAUGCUGAACGAGUGUUCUCUG
Molecule: long non-coding RNA, 794 nt
Organism: Notothenia coriiceps (black rockcod)
Lineage: Eukaryota; Metazoa; Chordata; Actinopteri; Perciformes; Nototheniidae
Exons: 3
Source: RefSeq, a predicted model, not a curated record